RNAcentral lists this unclassified non-coding RNA (180 nucleotides) under soil metagenome. Its description in RNAcentral is "partial contains small subunit ribosomal RNA, internal transcribed spacer 1, and 5.8S ribosomal RNA". The record is from RNAcentral.
UCUCCGUAGGUGAACCUGCGGAGGGAUCAUUAAUGAAUGGCCGUCUAUGGCCUUCGACACUUCAAAACUGUGGAGGCAGAGUGUGCUUCGGCGCUUCGGCGCCGCCUUUUAUGCUUGUAGAGUCUGUGUCUGAGCCUAAAACAUAGUCUAAAACUUUCAACAAAGGAUCUCUUGGCUCUC